RNAcentral lists this long non-coding RNA (1392 nucleotides) under Salvator merianae (Argentine black and white tegu). RNAcentral's name for it is "lncRNA (ENSSMRG00000008070.1)". The record is from RNAcentral. Lineage: Eukaryota; Metazoa; Chordata; Lepidosauria; Squamata; Teiidae.
CGUUCUCGCAGUUAGCUUCGAUUUCACAGAAACUGCACCCGCUGCUGUGCAUGGUGUCCACACCGCAUCGCAUGCUUCUUUCACAAUAUUGGCACAAAGUGCACAGAGCAACUGCACAGUCAUGCUUUGUGCCAAUCUAACCCUUCCCCGGGUUCGCGCUUUCCUGGACGCUGAUACCGGGCAGCUACCAGUACUGCAAGUCUUCCAUUUUGGGAAAUCAUCCCUGGAGGCAAAUCGGAAGGGGAGGGGUCAGAUGCCAAGGAUNCAAAAACCAUGAUGGUGUAGCAAGGAAAGGGACGAACACAACCCCCAUCAACGCCGCCAGCCGUUUUGUACUCGACUUCCAGUGCUAAACCCCAUUGAGACUGCAGCCCAAAGCAGCUGGAGGGAGGGGCACAGGUUGGCAAAGGAAACUUCUGGAGAGUGACUCGUGGGGAAGAACUUCCUCUUGGAAUCUCUCUGAACAUUCCGCGGCUGCAAGUUUCUGCCGCAGGCGUUUGGCAGCCAAAAGGAUCGGGGAUGAUUCCUCUGGUGGGCUUGUGGGAAGCAAGNCGGCGACUGCAGCAUUUAUUUUGUCCUAAAAGGCCCCAUAAUAUUGCUUGANAUGCGCAGCUUUUAAAAACCCGAGGCGGGGAGGAGAGAGAAGAACUCCCCUCAAGCUCUCCUCUGGUUCAAGUGCGUGCAAAACUGNCCCCUCCCCUCCCCGCUCCGAACAAGCACAACUAGCGGCUCCCUCGCGCUACUGCGCCUGCUCGGCGUGCGCUGCUGCGCCCAGGGGCAGAGCCUCUCUGUCCAGCAGCAGUAUAUCUGCGGCUGCAAGAAGACGCGGCGGGCGCUGAAGCCGAAGCGCGCCGCGCUCUCCGCCCGCUGCCCUGUAUUGCCAGUCCGGAGUUUGCCGGCGGGGAUGGACUGAGCGACCCCCCCCCCCAUCAGCCCUCCGAGCCGAACGGGUCCCCCGUCCCUUGGCGGCUCUCUCCGCACCAAGAGGAGCCAGAGAGCGACCAAGCGAGCCUGAUCCGCCCAAGCCCGGGGGCUCCACCCCUCGCCGCCCGCCCGGUCGGCCAGCUGCCUGUUGCGGCUCAGGGCGCUGGGCGGGGCACCUGCGGGAUGGAGCCUGGCCCGGCCCAGCCCAGCCCGGCCCGGCCCAGCCCAGCCCGGAUCUGUCUGCAUCGCUCUUUGCCGCCCGGCGCCCCGCACUCCUGUCUGCCCGCUCUCCGCUUGACUGGAAUCCGCUCCCCUCGCUUGGCCCCUGUCGCGCCAGGGCGCGGUGGGCAAACAUUCCUGUCUUUCCCCAAGAUGUGAAGAUCGCUGUUGGAGGCAAGUUAUACAGAGAGUGCACAAUGCAAUCUUGAAAGCAGGUUGUGGUUUCCCUCACCUUCCCUGCUAUUGNCU